AACAUCUUCGCUUGUCUUUGGGACCAACAAGUAGUCUUGGGAAGAGGCCUCGUCCACAUGGAUUAUCAGAUAUCAUUGAUGAUGCAUAUGAUUGGAAACAACAAUGGUUUUCCUUAUCUUCGACGCCAAUGGAUGAUCAUUCGAAACACAGGCAGAUUGAUCUCAAUGUUCCUAUUGAUAUUGAGGAGGAGCAAGAGCAGCCAUCCACUCCAGAUGAUCCACAAUUUCUAAUUUAUUAGGAGCUUGGAUGUUUUAAGAUCAGCAGUUGGAUUAGGUUAACAGAGGAGGACAGGCUGUUGGAUUGUUAAAACAAUGAGUGACGUUAUAUAUUGGAAUUUGGAAGCACUUGUUAAAUGUUAGAUACCUUUGUAACAAGUUUAGAUUUCGAUCUCAGAACUGUCGUUUUUC
Molecule: long non-coding RNA, 408 nt
Organism: Pyrus x bretschneideri (Chinese white pear)
Lineage: Eukaryota; Viridiplantae; Streptophyta; Magnoliopsida; Rosales; Rosaceae
Exons: 2
Source: RefSeq, a predicted model, not a curated record